UAAGUUUCCUUUGAUUCUACAGUUUGGGGAUUCUCAGCAGUUGCGGCUGGUCCGUAUUCUGCGCAGCACCGUGAUGGUCCGCGUUGGUGGAGGAUGGAUGGCCUUGGAUGAAUUUUUAGUGAAAAAUGAUCCCUGCCGAGCACGAGGUAGAACUAACAUUGAACUUAGAGAGAAAUUCAUCCUACCAGAGGGAGCAUCCCAGGGAAUGACCCCCUUCCGCUCACGGGGUCGAAGGUCCAAACCAUCUUCCCGGGCAGCUUCCCCUACUCGUUCCAGCUCCAGUGCUAGUCAGAGUAACCACAGCUGUACAUCCAUGCCAUCUUCUCCAGCCACCCCAGCCAGUGGAACCAAGACUUCACUUCAGUUCUCUCGCUGUUAUGACAAACCCUGGUUGGUAAACAGUAAAGCUGGCACCCCUAUCAGGGACAGCCAUUCUCCUGACCUCCAGCUGCCCACCCCCGAGGUUAUCCCAUCAUCAGGUAGCAAGUUGAAACGACCAACACCAACUUUUCAUUCUAGUCGGACAUCCCUUGCUGGUGAUACCAGCAAUAGUUCUUCCCCGGCCUCCACAGUUGCCAAAACUAAUCGGGCAGGUAAGUACCUGCCCUGUGACCUACAAGCCAGGCUGAGAAUUUGGAAACAGCCUAUGUGGAAUGUUUCACUGCUCCCAAGGAGCCAGUAAUGAGAGUGGCACUUAGUGUGAUGCCCAGAAAGACAGACCUGCAGAUGCUCAAGUGACCUUUACUUUUUCUGUCAUUACAACUAGCUUUCAACUAGCUUUAAGCUUUCCUUCUGAGACGAGAUGUUUCCACAGCCAAAGCUGGGCCAUGCAAUCUCAUCAGAAAUGAUCACAUUUGAGAGAAUGUAAAAGGAAAUGUGGGUCUUCCUCAGACACCAGUCCAGUGUUGCGAUGAGCAGCUUGCUAGUAAUUUUUCCAACACAUCAUACUUAUUAUGGCUGCUGUUGAACCAAGAAAGGCAGGGGAAGAUCACAUCUGUUCUCCUGCUACUGUUCCUCAUGGGAACCUAGGAAUCUGCCUUCAUUUCCUGGCUGGCUGCUUCCCCUCAUUUUGCCUCUAUCCAUCCUGCCCAUGGAUUAGCCCAGCUGGCAGGCUCACCCACCUGUGCUGAGGUGGUUGAGCAACCUUCUUUGCUUCCACUUUGGGGCCAUGGAAGGUGACAGUGCUGCUGAUAGAAGUGGCUUUCUAAUCCCCAGGAGGCAGCUUCUCAAGUAGAAUCACAAAGCCAGAAAAGGCUUCAGCAACUUCUGUAUAGAUGAGGAAACUGGGGUGCAGAAAGGCUGUGAGAUUUGCUUAAGAUCACACAGGAUCAGAACCCUAGCUUCUGCUCACUUGUUCUUCUACCCCAUGCCGUCUCUGUUAAGUCUGCUGUUUUAUUCUUGAAUUCCAGACCCUAAAAAGUCAGCCAGUCGCCCUGGGAGUCGGGCUGGGAGUCGAGCCGGGAGUCGAGCCAGCAGCCGGCGAGGAAGUGACGCCUCUGACUUUGACCUCUUAGAGACGCAGUCUGCUUGUUCUGACACUUCAGAAAGCAGCGCUGCAGGGGGCCAAGGCAACUCCAGGAGAGGGCUAAACAAACCUUCCAAAAUCCCAACCAUGUCUAAGAAGACCACCACUGCCUCCCCUAGGACUCCAGGUCCCAAGCGAUAACACUGUCUAAGCACCCCCAAGCCACUAUCCACUUUGAAUCCUGCUCCAUACAUUGGGUGUAUAUUUAUUCUGAACGGGAGAAGUUAUAUUGUUAAAAGUGUAAAAGAAUAAUUGUGUUAUGAAGCUGCCUUAUUUUUUUCUUUUUGUAAGUUACUAUUUUCAUGUGAAUAUUUAUGUAGAUAAAAUUUGCCUCCUGGUAACCCUGUAAUGGAUGGGGCCCAGAAAUGAAAUAUUUGAGAAAAACAAAUGAAAAGGUCAAGAUACAAAUGUGUAUUAAAAAAAAAAAAAAAAAAAGCCUAUUAAUAGGGUUUCUGCGCGGUGCAGGGUUGUAAACCUGCUUUAUCUUUUAGGAUUAUUCCUAAAUGCAUCUUCUUUAUAAACUUGACUUGCUAUCUCAGCAAGAUAAAUUAUAUUAAAAAAAUAAGAAUC
RNAcentral lists this small RNA (2095 nucleotides) under Pongo abelii (Sumatran orangutan). RNAcentral describes it as "processed transcript". The record is from RNAcentral. Lineage: Eukaryota; Metazoa; Chordata; Mammalia; Primates; Hominidae.